GACGAACGCUGGCGGCGUGCCUAAUACAUGCAAGUUGAGCGAUGAAGAUUGGUGCUUGCACCAAUUUGAAGAGCAGCGAACGGGUGAGUAACGCGUGGGGAAUCUGCCUUUGAGCGGGGGACAACAUUUGGAAACGAAUGCUAAUACCGCAUAAUAACUUUAAACAUAAGUUUUAAGUUUGAAAGAUGCAAUUGCAUCACUCAAAGAUGAUCCCGCGUUGUAUUAGCUAGUUGGUGAGGUAAAGGCUCACCAAGGCGAUGAUACAUAGCCGACCUGAGAGGGUGAACGGCCACAUUGGGACUGAGACACGGCCCAAACUCCUACGGGAGGCAGCAGUAGGGAAUCUUCGGCAAUGGACGAAAGUCUGACCGAGCAACGCCGCGUGAGUGAAGAAGGUUUUCGGAUCGUAAAACUCUGUUGGUAGAGAAGAACGUUGGUGAGAGUGGAAAGCGCAUCAAGUGACGGUAACUACCCAGAAAGGGACGGCUAACUACGU
RNAcentral lists this ribosomal RNA (496 nucleotides) under uncultured bacterium. Its description in RNAcentral is "partial 16S ribosomal RNA". It matches the Rfam family "Bacterial small subunit ribosomal RNA", at positions 28 to 506 of the family's 1533-position model. The record is from RNAcentral.